RNAcentral lists this microRNA (19 nucleotides) under Macrophomina phaseolina MS6. RNAcentral's name for it is "miR2919". Lineage: Eukaryota; Fungi; Ascomycota; Dothideomycetes; Botryosphaeriales; Botryosphaeriaceae. The record is from RNAcentral.
AAGGGGGAGGGGGGAAAUA